This 508-nucleotide ribosomal RNA is filed under the name uncultured bacterium. Its description in RNAcentral is "partial 16S ribosomal RNA". It matches the Rfam family "Bacterial small subunit ribosomal RNA", at positions 30 to 523 of the family's 1533-position model. The record is from RNAcentral.
AUUGAACGCUGGCGGCAGGCCUAACACAUGCAAGUCGAGCGGCAGCGGGAAAGUAGCUUGCUACUUUUGCCGGCGAGCGGCGGACGGGUGAGUAAUGCCUGGGAAAUUGCCCAGUCGAGGGGGAUAACAGUUGGAAACGACUGCUAAUACCGCAUACGCCCUACGGGGGAAAGCAGGGGACCUUCGGGCCUUGCGCGAUUGGAUAGGCCCGGGUGGGAUUAGCUAGUUGGUGAGGUAAUGGCUCACCAAGGCGACGAUCCCUAGCUGGUCUGAGAGGAUGAUCAGCCACACUGGAACUGAGACACGGUCCAGACUCCUACGGGAGGCAGCAGUGGGGAAUAUUGCACAAUGGGGGAAACCCUGAUGCAGCCAUGCCGCGUGUGUGAAGAAGGCCUUCGGGUUGUAAAGCACUUUCAGCGAGGAGGAAAGGUUGAUGCCUAAUACGUAUCAACUGUGACGUUACUCGCAGAAGAAGCCUCGGCUAACUUCGUGCCAGCCGCCGCGGUAA